UGGUGUAUUUGGUAAACUUUUGGCUGCUAACCAAAAGGUUGGUAGUUCGAAUCUACC
Molecule: transfer RNA, 57 nt
Filed under: Loxodonta africana (African savanna elephant)
Lineage: Eukaryota; Metazoa; Chordata; Mammalia; Proboscidea; Elephantidae
Rfam family: tRNA
About the family: Transfer RNA (tRNA) molecules are approximately 80 nucleotides in length. Their secondary structure includes four short double-helical elements and three loops (D, anti-codon, and T loops).
Source: Rfam by way of RNAcentral